This is a long non-coding RNA of Spinacia oleracea (spinach), 518 nucleotides long. RefSeq lists it as uncharacterized. The record is from RefSeq and is a predicted model, not a curated record. NCBI's taxonomy places the organism in Eukaryota, Viridiplantae, Streptophyta, Magnoliopsida, Caryophyllales, Amaranthaceae. The transcript has 4 exons.
UGAAUUUCAAAGCCUCAAAACCUUUCUUCUCUUCACGUCACUGUCCUUGCUGCGGCCCAGCCGCCGGACCACCACCGACGACGCUCCCCUCCUCCGUCGUCCCUCUCUGCUUGCCGCCGCACCGCCACCAACGUCGGCUCCGCUCCAGCCGCUGCAACUUUCGUCGCCUGUCCUCCGACCACACGGUAGUCUUCUUCGUUCUCGUUCUUCUCUUUCGUCCGUCCCCUUCUCUUUUGGUUUCAGUUCUUUUCUUCCCCUAAUCAUUAUUGUUUGUUGAGUCACACACAACCACCGCGAGUUUUCCUCGCCGCCAGCAGCCGCCGUGAAUCUUGCCGUCGCUGGAUCGUCGACCCCUUUGCACGCCGCCACCACCUCGCUGCCGCUGGUGCGCCGCCGCGUGCCGCCCAGCCACGCCCUUGUCGCCGGCAGUUUCCCUCUCUCCUCUUUGAUUUGGUGGAGAAUUCUUUGUAGGCGACCCUUGAGAUUGUUAUAGUAGCCUAUCAAUUUGUUUACACAAG